GAUGAACGCUAGCGGCGGGCCUAAUACAUGCAAGUCGAACGAUAGAAGAGGGCUUGCUCUCUUCGAAAGUGGCGCACGGGUGCGUAACGCGUAUGCAACCUACCUUAAUCAGGGGGAUAGCCCGAAGAAAUUCGGAUUAACACCGCAUAAAAUAACAGUACAGCAUUGUACAAUGAUCAAAUAUUUCAAGGAGUAAGAUGGGCAUGCGUGACAUUAGCUAGUUGGCGGGGUAACGGCCCACCAAGGUGACGAUGUCUAGGGGAUCUGAGAGGAUGACCCCCCACACUGGUACUGAGACACGGACCAGACUCCUACGGGAGGCAGCAGUAAGGAAUAUUGGUCAAUGGAGGCAACUCUGAACCAGCCAUGCCGCGUGCAGGAAGACGGCCCUCUGGGUUGUAAACUGCUUUUAUUCGGGAAUAAACCUCAUUAUGUAUAGUGAGCUGAAUGUACCGAAGGAAUAAGGAUCGGCUAACUCCGUGCCAGCAGCCGCAGUAA
RNAcentral lists this ribosomal RNA (498 nucleotides) under uncultured bacterium. RNAcentral's name for it is "partial 16S ribosomal RNA". It matches the Rfam family "Bacterial small subunit ribosomal RNA", at positions 28 to 523 of the family's 1533-position model. The record is from RNAcentral.